GAUCAUGGCUCAGGAUGAACGCUAGCGACAGGCCUAACACAUGCAAGUCGAGGGGCAGCGAAGAGGUAGCAAUACCUCUGUCGGCGACCGGCGCACGGGUGAGUAACACGUAUGCAAUCCACCUGUAACAUGUGGAUAACCCGGAGAAAUCCGGACUAAUACCCCAUAAUAUGGGCGCUCCGCAUGGAGAGUCCAUUAAAGAGAGCAAUUUUGGUUACAGACGAGC
RNAcentral lists this ribosomal RNA (226 nucleotides) under uncultured bacterium. Its description in RNAcentral is "partial 16S ribosomal RNA". It matches the Rfam family "Bacterial small subunit ribosomal RNA", at positions 15 to 230 of the family's 1533-position model. The record is from RNAcentral.